CGAGCGGAACGAUGGAAGCUUGCUUCCAGGCGUCGAGCGGCGGACGGGUGAGUAAUGCAUAGGAAUCUGCCCGAUAGUGGGGGAUAACGUGGGGAAACUCACGCUAAUACCGCAUACGUCCUACGGGAGAAAGCAGGGGAUCUUCGGACCUUGCGCUAUCGGAUGAGCCUAUGUCGGAUUAGCUAGUUGGUGAGGUAACGGCUCACCAAGGCGACGAUCCGUAGCUGGUCUGAGAGGAUGAUCAGCCACACUGGGACUGAGACACGGCCCAGACUCCUACGGGAGGCAGCAGUGGGGAAUAUUGGACAAUGGGGGAAACCCUGAUCCAGCCAUGCCGCGUGUGUGAAGAAGGCCUUCGGGUUGUAAAGCACUUUCAGCGAGGAAGAAGGCCUGAGGGCUAAUACCCUUCAGGAAGGACAUCACUCGCAGAAGAAGCACCGGCUAACUCCGUGCCAGCAGCCGCGGUAAUACGGAGGGUGCGAGCGUUAAUCGGAAUUACUGGGCGUAAAGCGCGCGUAGGUGGCUUGAUAAGCCGGUUGUGAAAGCCCCGGGCUCAACCUGGGAACGGCAUCCGGAACUGUCAGGCUAGAGUGCAGGAGAGGAAGGUAGAAUUCCCGGUGUAGCGGUGAAAUGCGUAGAGAUCGGGAGGAAUACCAGUGGCGAAGGCGGCCUUCUGGACUGACACUGACACUGAGGUGCGAAAGCGUGGGUAGCAAACAGGAUUAGAUACCCUGGUAGUCCACGCCGUAAACGAUGUCGACUAGCCGUUGGGUUCCUUGAGAACUUUGGUGGCGCAGUUAACGCG
RNAcentral lists this ribosomal RNA (805 nucleotides) under Bisbaumannia salifodinae. Its description in RNAcentral is "bacterial SSU rRNA". It matches the Rfam family "Bacterial small subunit ribosomal RNA", at positions 63 to 859 of the family's 1533-position model. Lineage: Bacteria; Pseudomonadati; Pseudomonadota; Gammaproteobacteria; Oceanospirillales; Halomonadaceae. The record is from RNAcentral.